RNAcentral lists this ribosomal RNA (289 nucleotides) under uncultured microorganism. RNAcentral describes it as "partial 16S ribosomal RNA". It matches the Rfam family "Bacterial small subunit ribosomal RNA", at positions 505 to 796 of the family's 1533-position model. The record is from RNAcentral.
GUGCCAGCAGCCGCGGUAAUACGGAGGGGGCUAGCGUUGUUCGGAAUUACUGGGCGUAAAGCGCACGUAGGCGGCUUUGUAAGUUAGAGGUGAAAGCCUGGAGCUUAACUCCAGAACUGCCUUUAAGACUGCAUCGCUUAAAUCCAGGAGAGGUGAGUGGAAUUCCGAGUGUAGAGGUGAAAUUCGUAGAUAUUCGGAAGAACACCAGUGGCGAAGCGGCUCACUGGACUGGUAUUGACGCUGAGUGCGAAAGCGUGGGAGCAAAUCGGAUUAGAUACCCUGGUAGUCC